This 390-nucleotide non-coding RNA is filed under the name Stegodyphus mimosarum. Its description in RNAcentral is "Eukaryotic small subunit ribosomal RNA". It matches the Rfam family "Eukaryotic small subunit ribosomal RNA", at positions 641 to 1042 of the family's 1831-position model. The record is from Rfam by way of RNAcentral. Lineage: Eukaryota; Metazoa; Arthropoda; Arachnida; Araneae; Eresidae.
AAGUGUCUGUCAUUGUAGUUAUGAAUAAAUUACAAAAUUGUAUCUGUGAAUGAGCCUGAAUCACUGUUAUAUUUAAAUUUUAUCACUGGCUGUUUUGGAUGACCGGCAAGUUUACUUUGAAAAAAUUAGAGUGCUCAAAGCAGACAUGAUGCCUGAAUAAUGGUGCAUGGAAUAAGACCUCGGUUCUAUUUUGUUGGUUUUCAGAAUACGAGGUAAUGAUUAAGAGGGACAGAUGGGAGCAUUUGUAUUGUGAUACUGGAGGUGAAAUUCUUGGGCCGUAACAAGACGAAAUUCUGCGAAAGCAUUUGCCAAGAAUGUUCCCAUUAAUCAAGAAUGCAUGUUAGAGGUUCGAAGGUGAUCAAAUACUGCCCUAGUUCUGUGUGGCAGUGC